UACGUAGGGUGCGAGCGUUAAUCGGAAUUACUGGGCGUAAAGCGUGCGCAGGCGGCGCGUUAAGACAGGUGUGAAAGCCCCGAGCUUAACUUGGGAAUUGCGCUUGUGACUGGCGAGCUUGAGUGUGGCAGAGGGGGGUGGAAUUCCGCGUGUAGCAGUGAAAUGCGUAGAGAUGCGGAGGAACACCGAUGGCGAAGGCAGCCCCCUGGGCUGACACUGACGCUCAGGCACGAAAGCGUGGGGAGCAAACAGG
Molecule: ribosomal RNA, 253 nt
Filed under: uncultured bacterium
Lineage: Bacteria
Description: partial 16S ribosomal RNA
Rfam family: Bacterial small subunit ribosomal RNA
Source: RNAcentral